GACGAACGCUGGCGGCGUGCCUAAUACAUGCAAGUCGAACGAGUGGCGGACGGGUGAGUAAUGCUUGGGAAUCUGGCUUAUGGAGGGGGAUAACUACGGGAAACUGUAGCUAAUACCGCGUACCAUAGGAUGAGCCCAAGUGGGAUGAGGUAGUUGGUGAGGUAAAGGCGCACCAAGCCGACGAUCUCUAGCUGGUCUGAGAGGAUGACCAGCCACACGGGGACUGAGACACGGCCCAGACUCCUACGGGAGGCGGCAGUGGGGAAUAUUGCGCAAUGGGGGCAACCUGACGAAGCCAUGCCGCGUGAAUGAAGAAGGCCUUCGGGUUGUAAAGUUCUUUCAGUAGAGAGGCGUUAACUACAGAAGAAGCACCGGCUAACUCCGUGCCAGCAGCCGCGGUAAUAC
This 405-nucleotide ribosomal RNA is filed under the name uncultured bacterium. RNAcentral's name for it is "partial 16S ribosomal RNA". It matches the Rfam family "Bacterial small subunit ribosomal RNA", at positions 28 to 526 of the family's 1533-position model. The record is from RNAcentral.